CUGGUUAAAUGGGUCAGAGCAGUCGCUAUAAUAAGUGUGCCUCGAGCCAGCAGGAGCUACCCGGCUCCUAUAAAAGCGGGUGGAGGAGAAAAAGCGGGUGGGAGCGGAGCACCCGAGGAGCAGCGCGAGGACUCUGCGCGCCUGGAGCCCGUUCCCCUGCCCGAGCUGCCCGCAGUCGGGCUGCGGCUCUGUGCCCAGCCCUCGAGCAGGAAUUCAUUGAAUGGCAGCAGCGUGGGGGACGGGGGCUGCCCGGAGCUGCCGCUGAUGGGAGCCCAAAUCACCCAUUUCUGUCGAAAAAGGUGAAAUUUGGCAGCACGACAUUAACUUAUUUUGGAUUAGGAUCUCCAUGGCACAUGAACUAGAAAAUAACCCAAACUAGAAGGUCUCGUUAUUUUGACGUGACAGACAUUAUCAAAAUGGUUGGAAAACUCAAACAGAACUUGCUAUUGGCAUGUCUGGUGAUCAGUUCGGUGACAGUGUUUUAUUUGGGCCAACACGCGAUGGAGUGUCACCAUCGAAUAGAGGAACGCAGCCAGCCUGUGAGGAUGGAAAGCGUGAGAAGCACAGUAAGAACUGGUUCCAAUGUAAAUGCCAAUAAAACCUUUGCUUACAACAAAGACAUGCCUUUAAUAUUUAUUGGAGGAGUACCUCGAAGUGGCACUACUUUAAUGCGUGCCAUGCUUGAUGCCCAUCCAGAUAUUCGGUGCGGAGAAGAGACGAGGGUAAUCCCACGAAUUCUGGCAGUUAAGCAGAUGUGGGCUAGGUCAAGCAAGGAGAAGAUCCGGCUGGAUGAAGCUGGAGUCACAGAUGAGGUUCUGGACUCGGCCAUGCAAGCAUUUCUAUUGGAAAUCAUUGUGAAACAUGGAGAGCCUGCACCGUAUUUGUGUAACAAAGAUCCUUUUGCUUUAAAAUCCUUAACUUAUCUUGCUAGAAUUUUCCCCAAUGCCAAAUUUCUUCUAAUGGUACGGGACGGUCGUGCAUCUGUACAUUCCAUGAUAUCUAGAAAAGUCACAAUAGCUGGCUUUGACCUGAACAGCUACAGGGACUGUUUGACCAAGUGGAACCGUGCUAUAGAAACUAUGUAUAACCAGUGCAUGGAGGUUGGUUUUGAGAGGUGUAUGCUGGUACAUUAUGAACAGCUUGUAUUGCAUCCUGAAAGAUGGAUGAGAACUCUCUUAAAGUUUCUUCGCAUCCCGUGGAACCAAGCAGUGCUGCACCACGAAGAAAUGAUCGGAAAAGCAGGCGGUGUUUCUCUUUCCAAAGUUGAAAGAUCUACUGAUCAAGUAAUCAAGCCAGUCAAUGUGGAAGCGCUGUCGAAGUGGGUUGGGAAGAUACCUGCUGAUGUGCUGCAAGAUAUGCCAGUGAUCGCGCCCAUGCUGGCCAAACUGGGCUACGAUCCCUAUGCCAAUCCACCAAAUUACGGGAAGCCAGAUCAAAAAGUUGUGGAAAACACAAGGAGGGUCUACAAAGGUGAAUUUCAGCUUCCUGACUUUCUCAAAGAAGUGCCACAGCCAAAGAAGACAGUAGAAAGGAAGUCUCGUGGCAAGAUAAAAUGAACAUGGAUCAGUAAAGUUGAAUAGCUGUAGUACUGAGCCUAUGGAAUAGAAGACAAAAUGGAUCUUUCUUGCACAGAAGAAAAAGACUGCUGCCUUUUCAAUGGAAGUGAUGUUAUAAGGACUGUCCCACUGCCAUCAGUGAGAUGUACAGCUCAUGGCCCGCUUUUUUCAGAAUUUUCUCCCCCAUUUCUUUCAUGCUCUUUUCUUUUUGGUCAAGAUUUUGUUGUUGUGAGCGCAUGUAAACCUGUUUUAAAAAGGGGGGUGGGGGUUCGGGAGAAGAAAAAUCACUGAUGUUAUUGUAGAACUGUAUUACACUUACACAACUAUUUUUAAGGUUUCAAAAACUGCUACACAAUGCCUGUCUCUGAAAUUGCUAUUCUGUCUUCUUAAUUCCAAACCUCAGUCUUCAAAGGCCUUUUUUUUCCCCUUUAGCAGUUUGGUUUUAAAUGUAUGAAACUUUCAGAAGUGGUCUGUGCUUGUCCUAAGGAUUUUUGGUGGAACAGUUAUUUGUCUUAUUGACGUGGAAAUUGUUAAAUAUCUUUUUAUUUAAAAAAAAAAAAAAAAGUUGAUAAAUUACAUGUACAAUUACAAUUCAAUGAUCUUUUGUAUUUUAUUUUUCAAAAUAAAUGCUUUAAAUGUGA
Molecule: RNA transcript, 2197 nt
Organism: Oxyura jamaicensis (ruddy duck)
Lineage: Eukaryota; Metazoa; Chordata; Aves; Anseriformes; Anatidae
Gene: TPST1
Gene name: tyrosylprotein sulfotransferase 1
Exons: 7
Source: RefSeq, a predicted model, not a curated record